RNAcentral lists this ribosomal RNA (253 nucleotides) under uncultured bacterium. Its description in RNAcentral is "partial 16S ribosomal RNA". It matches the Rfam family "Bacterial small subunit ribosomal RNA", at positions 524 to 776 of the family's 1533-position model. The record is from RNAcentral.
UACGAAGGGGGCUAGCGUUGUUCGGAAUUACUGGGCGUAAAGGGCGCGUAGGCGGCCUGACAAGUCGGGUGUGAAAGGCCUGGGCUUAACCCGGGAAAUGCGCUCGAUACUGUUGGGCUAGAGUGUGGGAGAGGAUAGCGGAAUUCCCAGUGUAGAGGUGAAAUUCGUAGAUAUUGGGAAGAACACCAGUGGCGAAGGCGGCUAUCUGGACCACAACUGACGCUUAGGCGCGAAAGCGUGGGGAGCAAACAGG